Long non-coding RNA from Chroicocephalus ridibundus (black-headed gull), 3126 nucleotides. RefSeq lists it as uncharacterized. NCBI's taxonomy places the organism in Eukaryota, Metazoa, Chordata, Aves, Charadriiformes, Laridae. The record is from RefSeq and is a predicted model, not a curated record. The transcript has 3 exons.
UGUGGCUAUCCAACAAGGGGCGGGGGGACACAAAGUUUUUUGUAUUGCAGCUCGUAUUUUGUUUUGUUUUAACAUCUAGACCUGAUAACCGUAAUCCUGUACUCACUGAUCUCCCUGUUAUGUUGAGCUGAAAGGUUCGGCUUAUCCCGAUUUCAGUAAGCUUUUUAUUAGGACCAGGCCAGCUCAGCACUGAACUCAUGUUCUGGAUUUUCUGUGCUGAUUUUUGGACAGCUUUUUUUUUUUUUUCCCCGGAUGGCUAAGAUUUUGCUCGUGACCCGUGAGCACUGCACGGGCCGUGUUCUUGAUGCGUCUCCGUAAUGUCAUCCUGCAGCUUCUCCAGUUACCUCUUCCUGCGAUAAUCAAAGCUGAGGUUUGCUGUGAAGCUUUGGCCCUGACGACUGACAGUGUUGAACCAGCAUCUGAACGUCAGCUUUCCUAGAAGAGAAAGAAAAGACAUAGAAGUGGGUCAGGUUUGCUCACCUCAGCAGCUGAGCGCUGAGACCUGGCAAUAAACACAUUGCUGAACUGCUGACGAACCCUGCAAGUCUGAGAUUGCUUACAAAAUCUUGCGAUUGCUGAAAGAGAUUUAGUGGAAGAAGUCUGCUUUUAUUCUUCCAAUCUGUCUCACUUUAAAUUUCUUAGCCAUAUAGCUUCCAUUUUAGAAACUCCUUAGGAAGGGUUAUUGGUAUUGUUGUUUAAUUGAGACUGGCUUUCUCUUACUUUAUCUGCAGAGCAUUGCUAUCUGUUCUCAGAAGGUGAAUACCUCAAUUUUCCAGUGAUGCUGUUUUCAACAGAAGAAUUUAACUAAAGCCCUUUUUUCCUGCUUUUGGCUGGAGGAUCCAUGCAAAAUCACUGGCAGUCUCUAUAUGCUUCUCAGCAUAGUUUGAAAAUUGCCUGAUGAGGAAAAUCCCCCUGCUACCAGCACGUAUUGGCAUUUCAGCUCCAGAUAAUGUUUUCUGUGCAUAAAAACUACCGCAGUCUGUGGGGACCUCCUCAGCACAGCCUGGGUUUGUCCACCUUUAAUCAGCGUGCAGGCAGGAGAAAGGCUACCCACCCCUGUGUAUGGGUUGGUUCUCUGGCCCCUGGAGAAUGGUUUGCUCUCUCUCCUGUCAGUAAGCCUGUGCUGAACAGGUCAGCCGGCACUCCAUCAGCUUGUCUGGGAAGUCUGCGGGGCUGCCAGCUAUAAGGAUAAAGUUCUUUAAAAGGAUCAUUGCAUGAAGACUGACAGUGUGCCCAGGAACCACAGUUACAACCGGUUGUUGAUUUGUUUCCUGCUCGAGUGCCAUAAAACAUUCUCAAGAAAUGGAGGAAGAUAAAGGGCAGAGUGCUAAAGCUACCAGUGCGGUGGGUGACUUGAGGAAAAGUUGGCAAACCUGGGCAGAGGAUCACAUUGAGUAUCAGAGAAAGAACCCCUUCAGCAACGACGACAGGCUUGCAUCUAAACCGGUGCAUACUCACAGAGGAGACUCUACCUAUGGGAGACCCCCCGAAGGGUCUCAGACAGAGCAGAGGGGAAAAGAUGCUCACUCACACGUGGGUAAGGAGGUAGAAGAGCUGUGCUCUAUCAUUAGAAGAACUGGAGAGGUGGGAGAAGAUGGACAUGUGAGUGUGACAUUCGGGCAGCUCUUUGAAACAUACGUGACUAUUUCCAAUAAAGUAGUGGGAAUCUUGUUAAGAGCCAGAAAGCACGGUCUGGUUCGUUUUGAAGGUGAAAUGCUUUGGCAAGGAAAAGAUGAUGAUGUGGUCAUCACUUUAUUAGAAUAAGGUUUUGUCAUCUAAUGAAUUCUGCUGCAUGGUUCCAUUUAGAAAAACAUAGCUGGAUACCAUCUUGAAAGAGGUUUUCAUUACAGAAUUUCAACUCAGCUGCUUACUGGGACGUGAGCAGGAGAGAAAAUGGGCGAGAAGGAUAAAAAAUGUUUUUGCAAAAAUGGUAGAGAUUUGGACAGAAAUCACAAAUAAUGAACUAAUCCAUCAUGCUGCUAUUGGAUUGUCCUUUCAUUAUUAUCAUCCACUACCACGUAUACCGCAGUUCUUCAAAUAACUCCACUGGCUUACUGCUUUAGGUUACUGAAAGUAUAAAUUGCUAACUUGCUACUAUUCAACACUGAUUCUUGCAGGUUGUGAAAUACUCACUGUGUGGGGGGUCUUCAUUUGUAAAACAUGGAAUUGAAAACUUUUAUGGGAAUUCAUAUACUACUUCAAAAAAAGAGCCUGAAAUAUGACAAAAGUUUAGGUUAUUUUCACAUGGUGAAACUGAAUAAAUGGAAGUUACUUUCUGAAGUAUAUGAAAAAUCCCAAAUUUACAGAAAUAUCACAGCAAGGAUAUUUGAAGUUUCCUAAAUUAGUUACAUCUUGCAUGUAUUUCGGAGAGCUGCACUAGUCCUGGUAUUUAAUAGUCUGUUCUUAUCAUCAUAUCUUCUCCCAGAUCUUCUGUGUCUCUUGUUGUUUUUCCUCUGUAUCUCACCGUUUUUACCUGUUCUGUUCUUCUAAUGCUGCGUCAUACCCUAGAAGAUCACAAAGCUCUGCAGCUGCCUUGGUGAAUCCAGCUAACAUCCUUUCAUAGAAAGUAGGGUGCCACAAUGUAAAGAUGUGAAAGACUGAUUGGGGCACUGUGCAUUCACGAAAAGAAACAAAAAGGUUCUUUCAACAAAAUGUAGCAAUUUUGUUUACAACAGGAAGAGAGUAGGGAUCCUGUAGUGCCAAAUGCAAAAAUAAAAGUAUAGUGGUGCAGUCUCGUGCCUCAUUUAUCUGAGGCAAAGCUUUUCUUUCAGGGGACAGUUGUGGGUUCUCCAAACUAGGAGGAAAAAAAAUGACCAGCUCGUGAAAAUUGAGACUGAAAGAUGACCAAUAAGAAUUUCCUUCGUGGUUAUUCCAGGGGAACUUUUUCUAUGUUUAAAAAAAGAAAAAAAAAGGAUUGGUUAUACACAAUAGUUAUAAUAACGCUAUUAAGAAUAAUCAGGAGCUGUAUUUACAAUAGUUCCCACCAAGAAAACUGUAUAAUUAGAAAUAUCAAAUUCUAUUUUUUACCAAUGCAAAUAAAAGCUUUUAUGUGGUGUUAACUACAGUACUUGACAGGUCUUUAGUGUAAGAUAUUCUCUUGCCUCAAAAGGAUAUUGAAAUUUAAUA